GUGAGGAAUAUUGGACAAUGGGCGCAAGCCUGAUCCAGCCAUGCCGCGUGCAUGAAGACGCAUCUAUGGUGUGUAAACUGCUUUUGUACGGGAAGAAACACUCCCUCGUGAGGGAGCUUGACGGUACCGUAAGAAUAAGGAUCGGCUAACUCCGUGCCAGCAGCCGCGGUAAUACGGAGGAUCCAAGCGUUAUCCGGAAUCAUUGGGUUUAAAGGGUCCGUAGGCGGUUUAAUAAGUCAGUGGUGAAAGCCCAUCGCUCAACGAUGGAACGGCCAUUGAUACUGUUAGACUUGAAUUACAAGGAAGUAACUAGAAUAUGUAGUGUAGCGGUGAAAUGCUUAGAUAUUACAUGGAAUACCAAUUGCGAAGGCAGGUUACUACUUGUGGAUUGACGCUGAUGGACGAAAGCGUGGGGAGCGAACAGGAUUAGAAACCCGUGUAGUCC
This 445-nucleotide ribosomal RNA is filed under the name uncultured bacterium. RNAcentral describes it as "partial 16S ribosomal RNA". It matches the Rfam family "Bacterial small subunit ribosomal RNA", at positions 354 to 796 of the family's 1533-position model. The record is from RNAcentral.